This 504-nucleotide ribosomal RNA is filed under the name uncultured bacterium. RNAcentral describes it as "partial 16S ribosomal RNA". It matches the Rfam family "Bacterial small subunit ribosomal RNA", at positions 30 to 523 of the family's 1533-position model. The record is from RNAcentral.
AUUGAACGCUGGCGGCAGGCCUAACACAUGCAAGUCGAGCGGUAGCACAGAGAGCUUGCUCUCGGGUGACGAGCGGCGGACGGGUGAGUAAUGUCUGGGAAACUGCCUGAUGGAGGGGGAUAACUACUGGAAACGGUAGCUAAUACCGCAUAACGUCGCAAGACCAAAGUGGGGGACCUUCGGGCCUCAUGCCAUCAGAUGUGCCCAGAUGGGAUUAGCUAGUAGGUGGGGUAACGGCUCACCUAGGCGACGAUCCCUAGCUGGUCUGAGAGGAUGACCAGCCACACUGGAACUGAGACACGGUCCAGACUCCUACGGGAGGCAGCAGUGGGGAAUAUUGCACAAUGGGCGCAAGCCUGAUGCAGCCAUGCCGCGUGUGUGAAGAAGGCCUUCGGGUUGUAAAGCACUUUCAGCGGGGAGGAAGGCGAUAAGGUUAAUAACCUUGUCGAUUGACGUUACCCGCAGAAGAAGCACCGGCUAACUUCGUGCCAGCAGCCGCCGUAA